Molecule: long non-coding RNA, 645 nt
Filed under: Malus domestica (apple)
Lineage: Eukaryota; Viridiplantae; Streptophyta; Magnoliopsida; Rosales; Rosaceae
Description: long non-coding RNA (MDOM_LNC012244)
Source: RNAcentral
CAUUGCAUCUGUAUUUAUAGUGACUAUAUGCUUGCUUGGCACGACCUGAUCCUCGAGUACAAUUUGACUUCAAUCCCAACUAGACAAGCGAGAGCUUAUCAUUUAGAAAAUAACAAAAAAAAUAGACAACCUGACUUUGCUUCAGUAUUAUCACCAUUAUCCAAAAUACCUAUUUUUCCUUUCUUAUCUUUUGGAUGCAUUCCACAUGGUCAUUUCCCUAUAUCAUGAUAGGCUAUAACCUAUCACCUACUUAAUUAUCUUAAAAAUUUGUUUGACCAAAUAGGAAAAUAAAAGAAUAUUCUUUCAUUAUCCCUUCAAGGCCCAUCUGAUCAUGCCAUCCCAUUCUUCAAGACUUAUUUGAUCACGCCAAGUGCUGAUCUCUGUAUGUUCUGUCAGCAAACCCCAAUUAAUUCGAACUAUGUUAUUGCUUCUAAAUUGGAGAUAAUUUGAAACUCAUUUAUCCCGUAUUAGAAAAUGUCAAAAUAAUUCACCAUUAAAAGAUAACAUCAUGAUUAAAACCACAAUACAUCCUUCAAUAAUAAUUAUCUUAACUACUUUGUCAUCCAACGGUUGAGAGCUAUGUUCAUCAACGGCCUCGAUCGCUUGGGCUGAUGGUGUAAAAUCGGGUCCAAACAUUGCCCCCCA